UCUUAGGUAAUUCAAUGCCUGACCAAGAUCGUAUGUUACCAUCUCUCUACAACUUAUAAUAGGUAGGGUUACGUGAUCCCUUCGAAAAGGACUGUGCAAUCGAUGUGCCAGCACUAGCGGUCAUACAUUUAGUCCAAGUCAACCUCCUAACUGGUUAAGACUGAAAUUGUGAACUCAAUCGGUAGUACAGACGAGUAUCAACCUUCCGUGUCGAAUAAGUCGCACUUCCCACAUUGUAACUAUCCUUGUGUCGGUAAAAUGACUUCAACACAAAGUAUGCAAAUAAAAAGGAUAAAUCUCGUUAUACAGUCAGUAAGUGUAAUGUUUAAACUAGGAUUAGAUACCCUACUAUUUUCACCGUAAUUUGUGUCCGAACGUUACCAGAGGAGCAACAGCUAAGGUCUGUAAAAUUAUCCACGUGUGACAGUCUAACUUCCAACCAGAGACUUAUGCCACUAAUCGAAACUGCCCGCCUAUCUUACCCUUCCUAAUAUCUUGUACACCGCUGUCAGCUAGUCAGAGGAUAACCUCUAUCUCAUUCUAUGAAAGAGAGUAAAGUCAAGUCAAGGUGCAGACCAUGGAAAGGGAACCAGGUGUAAGUCAAUCAGAUGUGUAAUCAAACGAUACAAUGUAUGAACUUAUGCACUGUAAAGACGAAUUUGGCAGUAAAUGUGAGCUCAUAAUGUCACGUUGAACAGGUACAGUUAGAGGUACAAAUCGCCCGUCAUUCC
Molecule: ribosomal RNA, 731 nt
Filed under: Antarctophthirus microchir
Lineage: Eukaryota; Metazoa; Arthropoda; Insecta; Psocodea; Echinophthiriidae
Description: 12S ribosomal RNA
Source: RNAcentral